This 253-nucleotide ribosomal RNA is filed under the name uncultured bacterium. RNAcentral describes it as "partial 16S ribosomal RNA". It matches the Rfam family "Bacterial small subunit ribosomal RNA", at positions 524 to 776 of the family's 1533-position model. The record is from RNAcentral.
UACAGGGGGUGCAAACGUUGCUCGGAAUUAUUGGGCGUAAAGCGCGCGUAGGCGGCUACUUAAGUCGGAUGUGAAAGCCCUUGGCUCAACUGAGGAAGUGCACCCGAAACUGAGUGGCUUGAGUACGAAAGAGGGUCGCGGAAUUCCCGAUGUAGAGGUGAAAUUCGUAGAUAUCGGGAGGAACACCGGUGGCGAAGGCGGCGACCUGGGUCGAUACUGACGCUGAUGCGCGAAAGCGUGGGGAGCAAACAGG